CCUACGGGUGGCCGCAGUGAGGAAUAUUGGUCAAUGGGCGCGAGCCUGAACCAGCCAAGUAGCGUGAAGGAUGACUGCCCUACGGGUUGUAAACUUCUUUUAUAAAGAAAUAAAGUGAGGCACGUGUGCCUUUUGUGUGUAUUUUAUGAAUAAGGAUCGGCUCACUCCGUGCCCGCAGCCGCGGUAAUACGGAGGAUCCGAGCGUUAUCCGGAUUUAUUGGGUUUAAAGGGAGCGUAGAUGGGUUGUUAAGUCAGUUGUGAAAGUUUGAGGCUCAACCGUAAAAUUGCAAUUGAAACUGGCAGCCUUGAGUACAGUUGAGGUAGGCGGAAUUCGUGGUGUAGCGGUGAAAUGCUUAGAUAUCACGAAGAACUCCGAUUGCGAAGGCAGCCUACUAAACUGCCACUGACAUUGAUGCUCGAAAGUGUGGGUAUCAAACAGGAUUAGAUACCCGUGUAGUC
This 459-nucleotide ribosomal RNA is filed under the name uncultured bacterium. RNAcentral describes it as "partial 16S ribosomal RNA". It matches the Rfam family "Bacterial small subunit ribosomal RNA", at positions 338 to 795 of the family's 1533-position model. The record is from RNAcentral.